CCUACGGGAGGCAGCAGUGGGGGAUAUUGCACAAUGGGGGAAACCCUGAUGCAGCGACGCCGCGUGAGUGAAGAAGUAUUUCGGUAUGUAAAGCUCUAUCAGCAGGGAAGAAAAUGACAGUACCUGACCAAGAAGCCCCGGCUAACUACGUGCCAGCAGCCGCGAGAAUACGUAGGGGGCAAGCGUUAUCCGGAUUUAAUGGGUGUAAAGCGAGCGUAGACGGUCAUGUAAGUAUGGAGUGAAAGCCAGGGGGCGAAACCCCGUACUGCUAUGGAAACUGGAUAACUGGAGUACAAGAGAGGCAGGCGGAAUUCCAGGUGUAGCGGUAAAAUGCGUAGAGAUCAGGAGGAACACCGGUGGCGAAGGCGGCCUGCUGGACUGAAACUGACGUUGAGGCUCGAAAGCGUGGGGAGCAAACAGGAUUAGAUACCCGAGUAGUC
Molecule: ribosomal RNA, 440 nt
Filed under: uncultured bacterium
Lineage: Bacteria
Description: partial 16S ribosomal RNA
Rfam family: Bacterial small subunit ribosomal RNA
Source: RNAcentral